UUUCUUUCCUUUGUCUUUCAGAGAGAGAGAGGUUCUGUCAAGCUGGCCGGAUCUGUUACUGGAGCUUGACUCCCGACGUUCGGGCUAUGCCUCUGGCAAGCGGUGGCUCCCAAAGCACUGUCUUGGCCGGCUUCUGACUCCGACAAGUAGGUGGUUCACAUAACACAAUCUUGUCCGGCUUUAAUAUGAGAUUCAUCUCCAUCUCUGAUGGAUUUCAGCUUUGUUUUAUCUGUUUUUUUUAUAAAUAUCUUUUUUGUUUUCUUUAUCCGCUUCUUUGAUCUUCUAUCGAUUUGAAAUUGCUGAGAAUAUUUUCGGAUUGUUGAGAAAUUUUCCUGUUUUAACGGAUGGUUCCAUCUUCAAGCUUAUUUUUAUCAUUAAAGAUGGCUGUUUAAAAAAAAAAAAAGUUCGAUUUUCAACUUUCCUCGGGUUAUCAGAUCUUGGUAUGUUCCAAUCGUAUGUCUCUGAAGCGUUGUUACGGUUAUGGCUACUGAUCUCGAGCUUUCAUGUUGGCUGGCUGUUCUAAUCUUGUGUCUCCUGUUCCGGUCUGUUCCGGUGGAGUUCCGGUUAGUUUUCCGGCUACGAUUUCGAAAUCGGUGAAGAUAGAGAUGGCUCUGCUCUUCCGACACGCGUCCAUCUUCCGCUUGCGUUUGACGCGUCUCCAUGAGCUGUCGUGAUUGAGCCUCUUUCUUCCAUUGGGCUUUAUGUUACUGGGCCUUGUGGAUGGCUCUAUAUGACUUGUAUGUUUGCCCCUGUUCUUUGGACUUUCUUUUUAAGUUUGUUGUACUAUGUUGGCCUUUGGCCUUUAAUAAAACGAGAUGAUAAAAAAAAAAGCAUGUUACUAGAGCAGGUUCGGUCCAAAAAAAAAGCAUGUUACUAGAGCUGAACACUCCAAUACUUUUUGCGAAUCUAUUAAAACAUGUAGAGUUAUUUUACAGUAUGGACGAACCAAUUUUGAUUUCUUUAGCCGAUCUCGGAUGCCACUAAAAUGAAAGAUGCUCUUUAGUAACACUAGACAUAAUUUUAUUAAAUAUAAUAUAUAAGAAAAAAUCCAUAACAUAAUAUUCAUUCAACAGUAGAAAAUAAAUAUUUUAUAUAUUUGAAUCUGGAGUUUAAAGAUUAGAAUUUAGAAUUUAGGAAAUAUAAUUAAGGUUUAGGGCUAUGGAUGUGAUAUUUUUUAAUAUUUUUAUUAAUUAAUAAAUACUAUUUUUAGAAAAUAUUUAAAUACUAUUUUUACGACAAAACUAAAAAAAAAUACUAUUUAUGAGAAUCUAUCCUACCAAAAUUGGUUUUGGAAAGCUUAUAUUAUCACCGGAUUAUAAAAUCCCCUGUAAAUGAAUCAUCGAGUAUUAUAACAUGUUUUCGUAGCCACGUGUCAUCAAGAAUAUGAUUUUUAGAACUCUUAGAAAAAUAAGUCAGUCUAUAUAAACUUAUACUAUGUUUUUUUAUUAAACUAACUAUCAAAUUAAUUAGUAAUGUACCAAAGAAUAUAUUUUUUUUCUUAAAUAAAAUCUACGAAAUUACCUAAUAUGGUUAACAUAUAUAUGAUAAUUAAUGAUUAUGAAUAAUACAUAUUUGAUAACAAUUUUUGUAUUCUUUUUCUCUUUGUUUAAUUUUAUAUUAUUAAAUCAAAUUAAACAAUCACAUUAAAAAUAUAAUAGAUUUUUUCUUAUAUGUUAUAUUUUGAAUUUUUAAAAACGACUAUAAAUCACUAAAAAUGGUAAAACUUCCACAUUGAAAAUUCUGUGAUCAGUGAUUUAACUUUUUUUUUGUUCAAACAAGAUACAAAUGAUCACUAAAUAAUUUAUUGUCACUUAAUUUUUUACUCCAUAUAAUUAUUUUACUAAAUAAUUUUUUUUUGUUUUACUUAAUUUAGCUAAAUAGAUAGAAAAAGUAAUAAAUAUAAAAUCACUUAGGCAAGAACAUUAGAUAUCCAUUUAGGUACGGAUUGUUUUUUUCGGGUAUCGUUUUUUUUUUUAAAUUAGGCUCUACUUGAAUAUUAUAAAUUCAUGUAUGGGUUUUGAGUUGGGUUCUUCUUGGUCUGGAUGAAUUUGGUUAUGAUAUAUAAGAACCUAAAAAUAUCUAAAUAAUUAACAAAUAUAUCUAAAAUAAAUUUGGAUAUUUGUACCAAAAAUAACCAUAUCACCCGAUUUAGUCAUGAUAUUUUGAAUACAAUUAGUUAUAUUACGACUCAUCUAAAUAAAUAUCAAUGUAUAAAAAUGUAAUAAGCACUCCAUGGAGCAGAUCAAUUUUUAGUGGGAAUUAAAAGCAUAUACAGGAAAAAAACAAACAUAAUGAAGUCUUCAUCUUUCUUUUACAUGGGAAACCUUCCAUUUCCGAAACAAAACAAGUUACGAUGUUAGAAUUUAUUGUGUUUCAUUGACGCUCUUUCUUUAUCGUUUUAUACCUAUAUAUCAUUAAAUGAAUUUUCAGAUUCACGAGAAACUGGGAAUCUCAACAGCCGGUCGCAUUACUUGUUAAUUCAGAGUUUAGUCUCUAUAAAUAGUCCCCUCGAUACUUCUUUUCUGUUAUAUCAUUCUAAAAAUUUAUUAACAGCAGGUUCAAGAAGUAAAAGAAGAUAGAAUGUGGUGGAUGAACGUUUUCAGGUUCAUUAGCCUUGCUGCUAAUGUUGUCUCAGCUGUUGUAGGCUUGAUUAUGAUCUUCAUCUAGUCUAUCAAAUCUUCAACUAUGUAGAACAAUAUUAUCUCUAGUAUUAAAGAGUUGUUGUUUGUUUUCUUUAAGAUAUCAAAGAGGUAGAUCCAUAUUGCCUCUAUUAUUUAAGUAAAAUCAGUAUCUUAUUUUGCAGUGUCUUUCUUUAAGUCUUUAUAUUUUUGCUAAUUGCGGUACAAUGGAAAAAACAAAACAAGCAAAUGCCCACUUCUGCUUCUCGCCUUCUUCCUCAAUUUACUUCUAUCACGUUCACAUCGCUCAUAUUGACACCAUGGCUGCUACAGAAGGACAACACGUCAUGGCUCUCAUCAGCAAACGUCUGCGUACCCACCGUAAGAAAUACAACCGAAUCACUGAGGUGGAAGAGUCUAUUUCUCAGGGUAAAACACUCAACAAGGAGCAAAAAGAAACCAUCCUCUCUAAGCCAAUCGUCACCGCCCUAAUCCAAGAGCUCGAAAAGCUCCUCAUCCUCCUUCCGCCGCCGUUUCAGAAGAGAUCAUUAGCCUCCCUGCUAAGAAAAACAAAAUGCAAAAGGCAUGUAAGGAGGUGGCGCCUGAGGAGAAAGACCUGACUUCCAAGACAGACAUGGAGGAUUGCAAGGUCUCCGAUGAGGUUUCGAAAGACGAUAUAUCUCCUUGUAGCGAAAGCUCUAAAGACGUUACACCAUCGCCACCUUCUACAAGUAGUGGAAAGGCACAACGUAAAAAGAAGUCUAAGAAACCUCAGACCACGAAUUGAUUGUGUCUCCAACUUCUGUCCGUAGCAGAAGUCUAUACAAAGACAAUAACUGGAGCUGCUUUG
Molecule: RNA transcript, 3468 nt
Organism: Brassica rapa (field mustard)
Lineage: Eukaryota; Viridiplantae; Streptophyta; Magnoliopsida; Brassicales; Brassicaceae
Source: RefSeq, a predicted model, not a curated record